Molecule: ribosomal RNA, 798 nt
Filed under: Dinckleria fruticella
Lineage: Eukaryota; Viridiplantae; Streptophyta; Jungermanniopsida; Jungermanniales; Plagiochilaceae
Description: eukaryotic LSU rRNA
Rfam family: 5.8S ribosomal RNA (bases 384-537)
Source: RNAcentral
UGUGAGUUUAGAGGAAGGAGAAGUCGUAACAAGGUUUCCGUAGGUGAACCUGCGGAAGGAUCAUUGUACACACAAUGCAGCAAACCAGCGAACUGUUGUUGUCCCGCGAGGGGCCUCACCCGGAGGUGGGGCCGUCGAUGGCGUGGCCGGACCGUGGGCGUAGCGGGUGCUCGUCGUCGGCUGGAGUGUCCCAUUGUGGUGGCUUGGGCUGUUUGCUGUCCCCGAAGGGGGCCGCAGGCAGUCGGGGUCGGGCGCUCCCCUCCCCCUUUGUUCCCCGUCUUUGGGGGCCUCUGGGGCCGCUUUCUCACAAGCAAGCUGGAGGAACAGGAACGAAGAGACUGAGCCUUGGGGUUGCAAAAGCCCCAAUCGAGAAGCAAAGUAACGACUCUCAGCAACGGAUAUCUUGGCUCUUGCAACGAUGAAGAACGCAGCGAAAUGCGAUACCUAGUGUGAAUUGCAGAAUUCCGCGAAUCAUCGAGUCUUUGAACGCAAGUUGCGCCCGAGGCUUGUCCCGAGGGCAUGCCUGCCUGAGCGUCACCGCACUCCCAGCUGGACAAUGUUCAGUGUGGAACUGGCCGUCCGGGGCCCGGCGUGGGUCGUGGUCGGCUGAAAUGUAGCUAUGUGGAUGCAGCCCAAGAGAGAGGCCGCGAGAAGGUGAUCCGCUCUCGGUGGAGCGGAGUGGGCAGCGGCUCUCGCUUGGGUGAUCCCCCUGAGUACCUGCUUGGACCUCAGAUCAGGCAAGAUUACCCGCUGAGUUUAAGCAUAUCACUAAGCGGAGGAAAAGAAACUAACUAGGAU